AUUGAACGCUGGCGGAAUGCUUUACACAUGCAAGUCGAGCGGCAGCACGGGGGCAACCCUGGUGGCGAGCGGCGAACGGGUGAGUAAUACAUCGGAACAUGCCCAGUCGUGGGGGAUAACACUUCGAAAGAAGUGCUAAUACCGCAUACGUCCUGAGGGGGAAAGCGGGGGAUCGCAAGACCUCGCGCGAUUGGAGUGGCCGAUGUCAGAUUAGCUAGUUGGUGGGGUAAAGGCCUACCAAGGCAACGAUCUGUAGCUGGUCUGAGAGGAUGAUCAGCCACACGGCGAAGGAGACACGGCCCAGACUCCGAAGGGAGGCAGCAGUGGGGAAUUUUGGGCAAUGGGGGCAACCCAAAUCCAGCCAUUCCGCGUGAGUGAAGAAGGCCUACGGGUUGUAAGGCUCUUUCGGCAGGAGCGAGACGGUGAGCUCUAACAUAGCUUGCUAAUGACGGAACCGGAAGAAGAAGCACCGGCUAACUACGU
RNAcentral lists this ribosomal RNA (483 nucleotides) under uncultured bacterium. Its description in RNAcentral is "partial 16S ribosomal RNA". It matches the Rfam family "Bacterial small subunit ribosomal RNA", at positions 29 to 506 of the family's 1533-position model. The record is from RNAcentral.